CAGCUCGGCGAGUGAAGCGGCAACAGCUCAAAUUUGAAAUCUGGCUCUCGGGCCCGAGUUGUAAUUUGUAGAGGAUACUUUUGAUGCGGUGCCUUCCGAGUUCCCUGGAACGGGACGCCAUAGAGGGUGAGAGCCCCGUCUGGUUGGAUGCCAAAUCUCUGUAAAGUUCCUUCGACGAGUCGAGUAGUUUGGGAAUGCUGCUCUAAAUGGGAGGUAUAUGUCUUCUAAAGCUAAAUACCGGCCAGAGACCGAUAGCGCACAAGUAGAGUGAUCGAAAGAUGAAAAGCACUUUGAAAAGAGAGUUAAAAAGUACGUGAAAUUGUUGAAAGGGAAGCGUUUAUGACCAGACUUGGGCUUGGUUAAUCAUCUGGGGUUCUCCCCAGUGCACUUUUCCAGUCCAGGCCAGCAUCAGUUUUCCCCGGGGGAUAAAGACUUCGGGAAUGUGGCUCUCUUCGGGGAGUGUUAUAGCCCGUUGUGUAAUACCCUGGGGGGGACUGAGGUUCGCGCAUCUGCAAGGAUGCUGGCGUAAUGGUCAUCAACGACCCGUCUUGAACCACGGACA
This 562-nucleotide ribosomal RNA is filed under the name Fusarium proliferatum. RNAcentral's name for it is "LSU rRNA". It matches the Rfam family "Eukaryotic large subunit ribosomal RNA", at positions 81 to 667 of the family's 3401-position model. The record is from RNAcentral. Lineage: Eukaryota; Fungi; Ascomycota; Sordariomycetes; Hypocreales; Nectriaceae.